UACGAAGGGUGCAAGCGUUACUCGGAAUUACUGGGCGUAAAGCGUGCGCAGGCGGUGAUGUAAGACAGUUGUGAAAUCCCCGGGCUCAACCUGGGAACUGCAUCUGUGACUGCAUCGCUGGAGUGCGGCAGAGGGGGAUGGAAUUCCGCGUGUAGCAGUGAAAUGCGUAGAUAUGCGGAGGAACACCGAUGGCGAAGGCAAUCCCCUGGGCCUGCACUGACGCUCAUGCACGAAAGCGUGGGGAGCAAACAGG
Molecule: ribosomal RNA, 253 nt
Filed under: uncultured bacterium
Lineage: Bacteria
Description: partial 16S ribosomal RNA
Rfam family: Bacterial small subunit ribosomal RNA
Source: RNAcentral